This 253-nucleotide ribosomal RNA is filed under the name uncultured bacterium. RNAcentral's name for it is "partial 16S ribosomal RNA". It matches the Rfam family "Bacterial small subunit ribosomal RNA", at positions 524 to 776 of the family's 1533-position model. The record is from RNAcentral.
UACGUAGGGGGCAAGCGUUGUCCGGAAUCAUUGGGCGUAAAGAGCGCGUAGGCGGCCCUGUAAGUCCGCUGUGAAAGUCAAGGGCUCAACCCUUGGAUGCCGGUGGAUACUGCAGGGCUAGAGUCCGGAAGAGGCGAGUGGAAUUCCUGGUGUAGCGGUGAAAUGCGCAGAUAUCAGGAGGAACACCGGUGGCGAAGGCGGUUCUCUGGGCAUGUUCUGACGCUGAGGAGCGAAAGUGUGGGGAGCGAACAGG